This 490-nucleotide ribosomal RNA is filed under the name uncultured bacterium. Its description in RNAcentral is "partial 16S ribosomal RNA". It matches the Rfam family "Bacterial small subunit ribosomal RNA", at positions 29 to 507 of the family's 1533-position model. The record is from RNAcentral.
AGUGAACGCUGGCGGCAGGCCUAACACAUGCAAGUCGAACGGCAGCACAAGAGAGCUUGCUCUCUGGGUGGCGAGUGGCGGACGGGUGAGGAAUGCAUCGGAAUCUGCCCAUUUGUGGGGGAUAACCUCGGGAAACCGGGACUAAUACCGCAUACGACCUACGGGUGAAAGCAGGGGAUCUUCGGACCUUGCGCAGAUGGGUGAGCCGAUGCCGGAUUAGCUAGUUGGAGGGGUAAAGGCCCACCAAGGCGACGAUCCGUAGCUGGUCUGAGAGGAUGAUCAGCCACACUGGGACUGAGACACGGCCCAGACUCCUACGGGAGGCAGCAGUGGGGAAUAUUGGACAAUGGGCGCAAGCCUGAUCCAGCCAUGCCGCGUGUGUGAAGAAGGCCUUCGGGUUGUAAAGCACUUUUGUUGGGAAAGAAAAGCAGCCGGUUAAUACCCGGUUGUCAUGACGGUACCCAAAGAAUAAGCACCGGCUAACUUCGUG